GUGUCAGCAGCCGCGGUAAUACGGAGGAUGCAAGCGUUAUCCGGAUUCAUUGGGUUUAAAGGGUGCGUAGGCGGCUCUUUAAGUCAGUGGUGAAAUCCUGCCGCUUAACGGUAGAAUUGCCAUUGAUACUGAAGAGCUUGAGUUCAGUUGAGGUAAGCGGAAUGUGUAGUGUAGCGGUGAAAUGCUUAGAUAUUACACAGAACACCGAUUGCGAAGGCAGCUUACUAAACUGACACUGACGCUGAUGCACGAAAGCGUGGGGAUCGAACAGGAUUAGAUACCCCCGUAGUCC
RNAcentral lists this ribosomal RNA (292 nucleotides) under uncultured bacterium. Its description in RNAcentral is "partial 16S ribosomal RNA". It matches the Rfam family "Bacterial small subunit ribosomal RNA", at positions 505 to 796 of the family's 1533-position model. The record is from RNAcentral.